GAUGAACGCUGGCGGCGUGCCUAAUACAUGCAAGUCGAGCGGACGGACGAGCAGCUUGCUUCUCUGAUGUUAGCGGCGGACGGGUGAGUAACACGUGGAUAACCUACCUAUAAGACUGGGAUAACUUCGGGAAACCGGAGCUAAUACCUGAUGAUAUUUUGAACCGCAUGGUUCAAAAGUGAAAGACGGUCUUGCUGUCACUUAUAGAUGGAUCCGCGCUGCAUUAGCUAGUUGGUAAGGUAACGGCUUACCAAGGCAACGAUGCAUAGCCGACCUGAGAGGGUGAUCGGCCACACUGGAACUGAGACACGGUCCAGACUCCUACGGGAGGCAGCAGUAGGGGAUCGUCCGCAAGGGGCGAAAGCCUGACGGAGCAACGCCGCGUGAGUGAUGAAGGUCUUCGGAUCGGAGAACUCUGUUAUUAGGGAAGAACAUAUGGGUAGGUAACUGGGCGCGUCUUGACGGUACCUAAACAGAAAGCCACGGCUAACUACGUG
Molecule: ribosomal RNA, 497 nt
Filed under: uncultured bacterium
Lineage: Bacteria
Description: partial 16S ribosomal RNA
Rfam family: Bacterial small subunit ribosomal RNA
Source: RNAcentral